Molecule: transfer RNA, 72 nt
Filed under: Actinopolymorpha rutila
Lineage: Bacteria; Bacillati; Actinomycetota; Actinomycetes; Propionibacteriales; Actinopolymorphaceae
Description: tRNA-Arg
Rfam family: tRNA
About the family: Transfer RNA (tRNA) molecules are approximately 80 nucleotides in length. Their secondary structure includes four short double-helical elements and three loops (D, anti-codon, and T loops).
Source: RNAcentral
CAUGGAGUGGCUCAGCGGCAGAGCGCCCGGCUGCGGACCGGGAAGGCGCGGGUUCGAGUCCCGCCUCCAUGU